UAGGCCUAUCUAGGGUGUGGAGUGGAUAUAGGUGGUGGAUAUAGGCCUAUCUAGGUGGUCGAGUGGAUAUAGGGGGUGGAUAUAGGCCUAUCUAGGCGUGGAGUGGAUAUAGGGGGUGGAUAUAGGUCUAUGUAGGGGUGGAGUGGAUAUAGGCCUAUCGAGGGUGUGGAGUGGAUAUAGGUGGUGGAUAUAGGCCUAUCUAGGAUGUGGAGUGGAUAUAGGGGGUGGAUAUAGGCCUAUCUAGGAUGUGGAGUGGAUAUAGGGGGUGGAUAUAGGCCUAUCUAGGGGGUGGAGUGGAUAUAGGGGGUGGAUAUAGGGAGUGGAUAUAGGUCUAUCUAGGGGGUGGGGUGGAUAUAGGGGGUGGAUAUAGGCCUGUCUAGGGGGUGGGGUGGAUAUAGGGAGUGGAUAUAGGCCUAUCUAGGGGGUGGGGUGGAUAUAGGGAGUGGAUAUAGGCCUAUCUAGUGGGUGGGGUGGAUAUAGGGAGUGGAUAUAGACCUAUCUAGGAGGUGGAUAUAGGCCUUGGGAUGAGUGGUGCUGUCUAGUGGUGGGCUGGAUAAAGGCCUUGGGAUGAGUGGUGCUGUCUAGUUGUGGGGUGGAUAAAGGCCUUGGGAUGAGUGGUGCUGUCUAGUGGUGGGGUGGAUAAAAGCCUUGGGAU
This is a long non-coding RNA of Oncorhynchus tshawytscha (Chinook salmon), 655 nucleotides long. NCBI's taxonomy places the organism in Eukaryota, Metazoa, Chordata, Actinopteri, Salmoniformes, Salmonidae. The record is from Ensembl.